GCGGGCGUCGUCGUCUCGGCCCUGCAGCCGCGCCAGGAGUCCGCGCUGCACAAAGCUCUGGCGGGCGGCGCGGCCCCGGCCGCCGCUCAGCUCCACCGCGCGUUCCAGAUCCUCCAGGGCGCCUGCGGGACCGACGAGACGGGCGGGGCGGGGGUCAGCGGAGGCCAGGGCGGCCUUGCCCGAGCCCCAGCCCACCUGCGGCCGCGCGGAUCACCGUGGUUCUUGCGGCUCCCGGGCGUGGCCAUUUACAACCCGCCUCGCACCUGCUAGAGAAAAGACCCCGGCCAUGGAUGGGAGACCUAGGACAAAGAUGGAAAAGAGAAUCAACUCUGCCUUAGGCGAACAAUUUACCAUAAUAUUCUGAGACAGGAGUGGAAUAACACCUCCAGCCAUUACCUGCAAAUGAGAGCUGCUUUAGGCGGGCAUUUGAUCGAGCUUCCUGGACUUUAUCUGUCAAUGACUUCCAGGCAUCUGAAAGGAAAUAAAGAAAACCCGUAAGCCAGA
RNAcentral lists this long non-coding RNA (504 nucleotides) under Homo sapiens (human). RNAcentral describes it as "non-protein coding lnc-IFT46-1:12". Lineage: Eukaryota; Metazoa; Chordata; Mammalia; Primates; Hominidae. The record is from RNAcentral.